This 805-nucleotide long non-coding RNA is filed under the name Homo sapiens (human). RNAcentral describes it as "MYO3B antisense RNA 1". Lineage: Eukaryota; Metazoa; Chordata; Mammalia; Primates; Hominidae. The record is from RNAcentral.
CCUUCAAAUUCAAAUUUAUCCAAUCAUUUCUUCUGCUUACUACCAUCCUAAAUCAUUUUUCUUUAGUAAGAUCUAUUAGUGUGAAGCUAUUAAGCUAUUAAUGUAUGUAUCAUAUUAAUGUAUUAAGACAUUAAGUGAGGAAGUAAAGUUGCAUUCACAGGCCUUGAACUUUUCCACAUCUCGAUUUUUACCCAUCAUCUCUGCAUAGUUCCCUAAGGCAGCCUUCAAAUGGUGAUGUUUCUUAUAAUCCAGAGUUCAGAAGUGGCUUCUCUUCAAUCUUUCUGUGGAAUUCUAAACCACGUGAUAAAGGAGCUGGUGAAAUCAUCACUGGGCUGAAAGAAUGUAGUACUGGUGACAUGAGCCUGCAUUUCCAUUUUUAAUUAAAAUUCUAACUGACCCAGAGCCAGAUUUCCUUCUGCACCAGAGCCUGUGGAAGCGCCACAGUGGAAGCAGCAGAGACUGGAAGAGCAGGCAAGAAGCUGGGAGCUUUGCACUGAACCAGGAAGUCACCACAGCUCUUAGGCAAAGACCCGGAAAGGUGUCAACAUGGCCACACUACUGCUCCCACCUUGUCCUUACUUUCCUCAUCUCAUCCCACAGGCCACAGAUCAGCCCUGGGGUUCAGAGGGAUCCUGACAGCUACUCCUCAAGAUCCUCUCUGUUGUGAUUCAUCCCCCCGGGGCCCUACAGUUUCUCCUUCCUGACUCUUACAUUUCUUUGGAUGGCAUCAUUAUUUACCUGUCUCCUCCCAUAGUUAGGUGCCAAGCACUGUGGAUUCUGCCUCUCAGUGUCCAGACACCCAUUU